Molecule: ribosomal RNA, 301 nt
Filed under: uncultured bacterium
Lineage: Bacteria
Description: partial 16S ribosomal RNA
Rfam family: Bacterial small subunit ribosomal RNA
Source: RNAcentral
CAGUAGCCGCGGUAAUACGAAGGGUGCAAGCGUCAAUCGGAAUUACUGGGCGUAAAGGGUGCGUAGGCGGUUGUUUAAGUCUGUUGUGAAAUCCCCGGGCUCAACCUGGGAAUGGCAAUGGAAACUGGACGGCUAGAGUGUGUCAGAGGAUGGUGGAAUUCCCGGUGUAGCGGUGAAAUGCGUAGAGAUCGGGAGGAACAUCAGUGGCGAAGGCGGCCAUCUGGGACAACACUGACGCUGAAGCACGAAAGCGUGGGGAGCAAACAGGAUUAGAUACCCCCGUAGUCCCUGUCUCUUAUAC